This is a long non-coding RNA of Pongo pygmaeus (Bornean orangutan), 1516 nucleotides long. RefSeq lists it as uncharacterized. Lineage: Eukaryota; Metazoa; Chordata; Mammalia; Primates; Hominidae. The transcript is spliced from 4 exons. The record is from RefSeq and is a predicted model, not a curated record.
UCCAGGGCGAUCCCGCGAAGGCGUUCGAGAGGGGCGGGGCCACAGGGAGGCUAGGCCGGAAGGCCUGGCCACGCGCUCACGUGGUCUGCCUCUGCGCCUGCGCUCUCGGGCAGCUGCGGCGGCCACCUGGAGAGCCGAGCAGGCAGUGCGCCGCGCACCUGGAAAGAUUCUCUCUAGAUCCAAAGAAAAACAAGAGGGUUCUUUUUGCCUUCUACUCCUCAAAACACACCAGGAGCUCAGCAAUCGGAGGGGAGGCUGAAGGACAAAAACAUUGCUAUCUCAUAGAGCAACGGUAUAAGAGCCAAUAGAGACUCUUGGCGCUGGAAGUCACGGAUCCGAAAGAAGGCGCCCAAUCAUUUGGUUUCUUUGGAUCGUUACUGAGUCUUCUGUCAUCAUAGUUCUACCCUCCUACUCGAAUGCCUGCCGUGGGGCCCUUACCCUUGCUCUCCUCUGCCUGGAAUGCCUGCCUCUUCUUGCACUCAAGCCCCUGGGUUCUAUUCAGAUGCUCCAGUUACAAGCGACAGAUCCAAAAUUGUCUUCUGGAAGAAACAUCACAAAACUUCAAAGAGCUAAGAAAGGAUGAAAGCUUACCACUGCUUGGAUACCAGCUUGAUAAGCAGCUUGGAAUGUCAAAUACAUAACAAGAAAGGAAAUAUUCUACUUUAAAGAAACAUGGUAAGUAAAUGAAUAACAUGGACACAACUUAGUGUAAGUUCUUUACCCUAAUAAAUUAAUUAUUCAUUUGCAAAUAUUACCAAAAGUAAAAAAAAUUUAUUUUAUAGAGUGGUUGAUUUUUGUAAUACAUCAAAAACUGUGAUGUUAUACACUUCCCUAUUCUCACUGCUUAUCUCAUAUCAGUGGUUGAAGUUUCUCCCAAAUAAUUUAGUUUACAUUUAAAGUGGCAAUACAGAUUUUACUUAAUGGACUUAAGUUAUAAUUAGAAACCAGUUUUAUAUACAGAAAAUCCAUAAAUAUAGAACUUUUAUUCCUAUUUUAUCCUUAGGCUAUGCAAAAAAUGGACUAAAAAUUUUUCAUUUGGGUCUUUGUAAUAAACAUGUAAAUACAUAUUUACAAUGGAGAUGCUUCCUGAUAGAAAGUAAACAGAAGUAAUUUUGGUCUUCACUAGAAUCCAUCAUAUCUAUUUUUGAAGAUGAUGUAAUACAUCAUGUUUACUCAAAAUUUGAUUCCUUUUAUACACAUAAUUUAAAUAAUUACUCCACUUGUACCAUUAAUGCUUCAUUCUGUAUUUAAAUUUCCUUUAAGAAAGAUUCCUUGAUCCAGUAGUAGGGAACUCUGUUUCUGUACAGUUAAUGUGUAAUUUUUAUCCUUCUGGCAGUAUUACAAAUACUGAGUCAUUUAAUCUUCAUUGUUCAUUCUCCAGGGGUAAUUCUUGAGUUAUCUCACAUGAUGUAAGUACCAUCUUUGCAGUAUUUCAUGGAUUCCAUUUGUUUUGUCAUAGCCAGAACAUCAUGAAAUCCAGUACUUAGGCCAGACAUAUGUUGAAAGUAUGCCUCCU